This 255-nucleotide ribosomal RNA is filed under the name uncultured bacterium. RNAcentral's name for it is "partial 16S ribosomal RNA". It matches the Rfam family "Bacterial small subunit ribosomal RNA", at positions 524 to 776 of the family's 1533-position model. The record is from RNAcentral.
UACGAAGGGGGCUAGCGUUGUUCGGAAUUACUGGGCGGUAAAGUGUGCGCAGGCGGCCGCGCAAGUCGAGUGUGAAAGCCCCGAGCUUAACUUGGGAAUUGCGCUCGAAACUACGUGGCUGGAGUGUGGCAGGAGGGAAGGUGGAAUUCCACGUGUAGCGGUGAAAUGCGCAGAUAUCAGGAGGAACACCGGUGGCGAAGGCGGGCUCUGGGCCGAUAUUGACGCUGAGGAGCGAAAGCGUGGGGAGCGAACAGG